Acinonyx jubatus (cheetah) is the source of this 788-nucleotide long non-coding RNA. RefSeq lists it as uncharacterized. NCBI's taxonomy places the organism in Eukaryota, Metazoa, Chordata, Mammalia, Carnivora, Felidae. The record is from RefSeq and is a predicted model, not a curated record. The transcript is spliced from 4 exons.
CUUCUAGACACAGUGUGGGCUUUGCUCCAGAGGAAGCAGCCCUGCCCUCUUGUCAGCUCUCCAUUUUCACGUCGCCAGAGUAGCAGGGAAGGAGGCUCCCGGAAACUUCCCUCUGCUCUGCGUUCCUCCCAGGAGCCCAGGAGAAAGACCGAAUGAAAAGCAUCCUUCAAACAAGCCCGGGAAGGAAAGCCAAGUCCUCCCUGUGGGGUCCCUGGGAGCAGCCUCUGGAAGGCUCUUGAAGGGAGAGAAGAGAGUGAAGUCAAGGCAUUAAUUUUCCUGGACCGUUUCUUGUGAAGGUGGAAGAAGAAUUCUGAAAGGACAUCGAUUUCCCGCGAAGGCAGAGGCGACUGUGAACUGUCACCACACGAAAGUGACGAUUUCUGGCUAAAAGCAGCCAACCGAAUGGGUACAAAACCACCCUAACACCAUCAAAGGCCGACCCAGGCAGUGGUGACCAAGGCUUCAAACACACUGAGGAUGCUUUGUGAUGCUCAACAGAUUCUCACUGAUUGACUGGGAGGUGGAUUUGGAAUGAAGUGAUCGGGGGACUUUCUGUUUGUAUGACCUCUUUGAGCCCUGGUGUUCUUCUCUAUAAAAGGCGAUGGCAUUACCUGCCUUAAGAGCUGCUGUGACAACAAAAAGCCCACGUACGAAUGAGCUGUGCAAAAAUUUACACACUGUGAUUCAUGCGCAUUAUUGGCUGGUUUUGGCGGUGGCUGUAGACGUGUUAGGCUGUUAUUAUUCACUGCUGUGACUGAGGACGGUUUGAAAUAAAAUAGCUCAUCGUU